This 465-nucleotide ribosomal RNA is filed under the name uncultured bacterium. RNAcentral's name for it is "partial 16S ribosomal RNA". It matches the Rfam family "Bacterial small subunit ribosomal RNA", at positions 338 to 795 of the family's 1533-position model. The record is from RNAcentral.
CCUACGGGGGGCAGCAGUAGGGAAUAUUGCUCAAUGGGGGAAACCCUGAAGCAGCAACGCCGCGUGGAGGAUGAAGGUCUUCGGAUCGUAAACCUCUGUCAGCAGGGAAGAACGGUCACUGUGCUAAUCAGCAGUGAAUUGACGGUACCUGCAAAGGAAGCACCGGCUAACUCCGUGCCAGCAGCCGCGGUAAUACGGAGGGUGCGAGCGUUAAUCGGAAUUACUGGGCGUAAAGCGCUCGUAGGCGGUAUGUCAAGUCAAGGGUGAAAUCCCCGCGCUCAACGUGGGAACUGCCUUUGAAACUGGCAAACUGGAGUGUGUGAGAGGAUAGUGGAAUUCCAGGUGUAGGAGUGAAAUCCAUAGAUAUCUGGAGGAACAUCAGUGGCGAAGGCGACUAUCUGGCACAUAACUGACGCUGAGGAGCGAAAGCGUGGGUAGCAAACAGGAUUAGAUACCCCAGUAGUC